Molecule: long non-coding RNA, 293 nt
Organism: Myotis davidii
Lineage: Eukaryota; Metazoa; Chordata; Mammalia; Chiroptera; Vespertilionidae
Exons: 2
Source: RefSeq, a predicted model, not a curated record
CUUUUACUUCCCUAUUUAGGCCUGAGUUGGAUGCAUGUGAUGUACCAGAAAAAUAUCCUCAACUAUUUCAGGUGACUCUGGAUGUAGAACUACAGCCCCAAGACAAAGUGGUUGACUUAACCCCACCCUGGGAACAUUACUGCACGAAGGAUGUCAAUCCCAGCAUCCUCUUUUCUUCUCACCAGGAGCAUCAAGAGACUCUGGUCUUAGGAGGACAGGCUCCAAUAGAUAUCCCUCCAGACAACCCCAGGCAUUUUGGGCAAGGUGGCUUCUUUUCCACUCUCUGUUGGCAA